CCCACCAGAAGGGCAGGAGGGUCCUGAGGCUCCUUUUCCUGCUGCUUCCCGUCCUGUCUGCUGUUGUCUACUGCUGGGGCUCAACGGUGUGGGGAAAGGGAGCGUUGCGGUCUCCUUAGCGCCUGGAUCGAGUUCAACACAGAGACGGAUCUUCCCGAGUGACCUCCGCAGGGUGGCAGGCUGAAGCGGGGAGCACUUUGGCAGAAGGUGCCUUUGCUGCCUGCAUACCUCUCGGAGAGCCUAGGGGGUCAGACGGAGGCCCGCAAGAUGCUCUGCUGAACGUGGCUGGUUAAAGAGCCCAACCUUCGGGUCAGGGUCUCUCUAAAGCGACUCGAAGCAGCAGGAAAUUCUGCCAGCUCUCCCUAGGGGAGUCUCCUUUGGGAAGCCCUGGCAGUGCUCCUCGUGCUUGCUCCAGUGGAGUGUCUUUAUCUUGCAGAAGAUGUCAGGCCUGCCUGAAGAGGAGCUGCAGUCUCGAGGGAACUCCCAGCCUUGGCUGGAGCAGAUGCGGGAGCUCAAGGAGACAGCGGCUCAGGUGUCUGCUGCGAGGGGGAACAUACUGCAGGCUGAGUGAGAGAGGUCCUCAGAGACCACGGUGUCCAAGAGGAGAAGA
Gymnogyps californianus (California condor) is the source of this 610-nucleotide long non-coding RNA. RefSeq lists it as uncharacterized. The record is from RefSeq and is a predicted model, not a curated record. NCBI's taxonomy places the organism in Eukaryota, Metazoa, Chordata, Aves, Accipitriformes, Cathartidae. The transcript is spliced from 4 exons.